Molecule: long non-coding RNA, 1900 nt
Organism: Mesocricetus auratus (golden hamster)
Lineage: Eukaryota; Metazoa; Chordata; Mammalia; Rodentia; Cricetidae
Exons: 2
Source: RefSeq, a predicted model, not a curated record
CCUUGUUAUUUUCUAUUUUCUGCAGGUACUGCUUUAUCAGGAGCUGGGGCAACACCCUAUGUUGCCUUUAGCUAUAUUAGUUUUCCCACUAAGCUGACCUCUAUCAUAGUCUCUUACUACAUUUAUUAAAGAUCGCCAGUCAUCAAAAUCCUAUUUAAAAUAACACUAUUGUUAUAUAAAAUCAUUGCUUCAGUUAAACAGUACCGCUUAUGAGGAAAUCAUCUUCAUGAUAAUUCACGGGUAAAAGUGCCCAGUAGAACAGGACAUUUAUUUCCAUGAGACAAUCACACUACAUUAAAGGCAGUGGAGAUCGCCCCCCACACCCAUUCACACCAUGCCAAACAGCAGGGGAGCACGGCAGCUGCAAACAAGGAAAGCCAGCAGUAACAAGAGACAUUCUGGGACCUUCGCCCUCCACACCUUGCCUAUCAGAGAUUCACCCAUCAGCGCCUCGCAUGCGGGUGGGCAGAUCCCCUGAAAUCAGCAGCCACCUGCUGCCCCUCUGACACAGCCACCGGCAAAAGAGAAGAUGAGCUGUCUGCACUAUGAAGACAGGUGGAACCAGAGGCGCUUCGGCGGUGAGGAAUUCCUGAUGUGAGAGCCACCCGAGACUGUGGUGAUGCCUUGGACCCCUGCUGCACCUGAGGGCCAUGUCUGGGUUUGUGGUCCUGAUGAAGCCAGGGUCUGUGGUGAUGUCAGUAGCCUACCACUGAAGACUUUGAGCAUGUCUGGGGUCUGUACUGCAGCGGGAAGCCAUAUUGAUGUCUGCGGGCCCCUCUAAGCCACCCUCUCCAGUCACCAAUGGUGGUACCAGCCUAGUAGUGGGCUUGGGAUAGCUGGGCAAAGGCAUGGGUGUGGGCGAGCUGGCCACACCCCUUGCCUGCUGACUCACCUAGGCAGAGUAGAAGAGCUCCCCUUGAAGGGCGAUCUGGAGGGUGUGAAAGGGCUGGCUGCCCGGGGUACGGGAUCCCCCAGGAAAACAGCAGGACAUCUGAGAGUCUCUAUGAGGGUCCAGUAUUGACAUUACAGAAGUCAGAGGCAGUGAACUAGCGGAAGGACUCAUUGCAAUGAACAUUCACAGGUAAAGCUGCGUGGGUUAAUUGGGCAAAAGGGCCCACUGCAUGACACACUGAAACCUCCAAUGCCAUUUGACGAACGAAUAUUUGAUGGAGAUGGGGGAAGGCAGGAAUGGAGUGGUUCAUGCACAGAGCGAAGCAGCUCAUAGAGGAGCACAUGCCUGACCAGAUGGGUUGGGGCAAUGGGAUUCUUUGGUUUAUUAGUUUCUUGUUUAUUAACUUUUGGGGGUGAGGCUACAAGAGUAGAGGUCAGAUACAGAAGGACUGGGAAAUGAAUUGGAUUGGAGUACACAAAGUGAAACACUGAAAGAUUCAAUUUUUAAAAUUAUGAUAAAAAGCAAAAAAAAGGAGAAAAGAAACUAGCAGUUUGGAUUUUGACUUACGAUGUCAUGAAGUUUAGAUUUAAGGAUCUAACUCAGUUCUUAUCUGCUGGACUGAAAAACAGUGUAGCCAACAUUGAAAGCAAUGAGGCAGGCUGGGUGUGGUGGCACAUACACUUAAUUCCAGUAAUUGGGGCACAGAAGCAUGCAGAAUACUGGGAGUUUGAGGCCAGCCUGUCUACAUAAUCAGUUCCAGGACAACAUAGACCCUGUCUCAAGAGAUGAAAACAAAAAAACAAACGAAAAUGCUAUCAAGCAGAGCUGGCAAGAUGCUACCAAGUAAAUCUAAUAACCUGGUUCUAUCACCCUGGAAUUUAUGGUGAAGAGAGAGACCUAGAGUCCAAAGUUGUCUUCUGACCUCCUCAUGCAUCCUGUGGUACUCAUGCCUUGUGCCCAUACUCCAGCAAUAAUAAUAUAUUUAAUAAUAAUAAUAAUAUGAAACAA